UCGAACGCGAAAGUCCCGCAAGGGAUCAGUAGAGUGGCAAACGGGUGAGUAACGCGUGGGCGACCUACCUCUGAGUGGGGGAUAACCUUCCGAAAGGAGGGCUAAUACCGCAUGACAUCCCAUGUUUGGAUACAUGGACAUCAAAGCCGGGGAUCGCAAGACCUGGCGCUUGGAGAGGGGCCCGCGUCCGAUUAGCUAGUUGGUGAGGUAAUGGCUCACCAAGGCUCCGAUCGGUAUCCGGCCUGAGAGGGCGGACGGACACACUGGGACUGAGACACGGCCCAGACUCCUACGGGAGGCAGCAGUGGGGAAUUGUUCGCAAUGGGCGCAAGCCUGACGACGCAACGCCGCGUGGAGGAUGAAGACCUUCGGGUCGUAAACUCCUUUCGACCGAGAUGAAUUCCCGACGGCCUAACAUGCCGGCGGGGUGACAGUAUCGAGGGAAGAAGCCCCGGCUAACUCCGUGCCAGCAGCCGCGGUAAUACGGGGGGGGCAAGCGUUGUUCGGAAUUACUGGGCGUAAAGGGUUCGUAGGUGGCUUGUUAAGUCAGACGUGAAAUCCCUCGGCUCAACCGGGGAACUGCGUCUGAGACUGAUGAGCUCGAGUGCAGGAGAGGAACGCGGAAUUCCAGGUGUAGCGGUGAAAUGCGUAGAUAUCUGGAGGAACACCGGUGGCGAAGGCGGCGUUCUGGACUGCAACUGACACUGAGGAACGAAAGCCAGGGGAGCA
Molecule: ribosomal RNA, 729 nt
Filed under: uncultured bacterium
Lineage: Bacteria
Description: bacterial SSU rRNA
Rfam family: Bacterial small subunit ribosomal RNA
Source: RNAcentral